AACGAACGCUGGCGGCAUGCCUAACACAUGCAAGUCGAACGAGACCUUCGGGUCUAGUGGCGCACGGGUGCGUAACGCGUGGGAACCUGCCCGUAGGUUCGGAAUAACUCCCCGAAAGGGGUGCUAAUACAGGAUAAUGUCUUCGGACCAAAGAUUUAUCGCCUUUGGAUGGGCCCGCGUUGGAUUAGCUAGUUGGUAGGGUACAAGCCUACCAAGGCGACGAUCCAUAGCUGGUCUGAGAGGAUGAUCAGCCACACUGGGACUGAGACACGGCCCAGACUCCUACGGGAGGCAGCAGUGGGGAAUAUUGGACAAUGGGCGAAAGCCUGAUCCAGCAAUGCCGCGUGAGUGAUGAAGGCCUUAGGGUUGUAAAGCUCUUUUACCCGGGAUGAUAAUGACAGUACCGGGAGAAUAAGCUCCGGCUAACUCCGUG
This 433-nucleotide ribosomal RNA is filed under the name uncultured bacterium. RNAcentral describes it as "partial 16S ribosomal RNA". It matches the Rfam family "Bacterial small subunit ribosomal RNA", at positions 29 to 507 of the family's 1533-position model. The record is from RNAcentral.